This 923-nucleotide ribosomal RNA is filed under the name uncultured bacterium. Its description in RNAcentral is "bacterial SSU rRNA". It matches the Rfam family "Bacterial small subunit ribosomal RNA", at positions 33 to 947 of the family's 1533-position model. The record is from RNAcentral.
ACGCUAGCUACAGGCUUAACACAUGCAAGUCGAGGGGAAACGGCAUUUAGUGCUUGCACUGAAUGGACGUCGACCGGCGCACGGGGGAGUAACGCGGAUCUAACCUUCCCAUUACUGAGGGAUAACCUGCCGAAAGGCAGACUAAUACCGCAUAGUCUUCGAUGACGGCAUCAGAUUUGAAGUAAAGAUUUAUCGGUAAUGGAUGGGGAUGCGUCUGAUUAGCUUGUUGGCGGGGUAACGGCCCACCAAGGCAACGAUCAGUAGGGGUUCUGAGAGGAAGGUCCCCCACAUUGGAACUGAGACACGGUCCAAACUCCUACGGGAGGCAGCAGUGAGGAAUAUUGGUCAAUGGGCGAGAGCCUGAACCAGCCAAGUAGCGUGCAGGAUGACGGCCCUAUGGGUUGUAAACUGCUUUUGUAUGGGGAUAAAGUCAAUCACGUGUGAUUGUUUGCAGGUACCAUACGAAUAAGGACCGGCUAAUUCCGUGCCAGCAGCCGCGGUAAUACGGAAGGUCCGGGCGUUAUCCGGAUUUAUUGGGUUUAAAGGGAGCGUAGGCCGGAGAUUAAGUGUGUUGUGAAAUGUAGACGCUCAACGUCUGACUUGCAGCGCAUACUGGUUUCCUUGAGUACGCACAACGUUGGCGGAAUUCGUCGUGUAGCGGUGAAAUGCUUAGAUAUGACGAAGAACUCCGAUUGCGAAGGCAGCUGACGGGAGCGCAACUGACGCCUAAGCUCGAAGGUGCGGGUAUCGAACAGGAUUAGAUACCCUGGUAGUCCGCACAGUAAACGAUGGAUGCCCGCUGUUGGUACCUGGUAUCAGCGGCUAAGCGAAAGCAUUAAGCAUCCCACCUGGGGAGUACGCCGGCAACGGUGAAACUCAAAGGAAUUGACGGGGGCCCGCACAAGCGGAGGAACAUGUGGUGG